RNAcentral lists this long non-coding RNA (1065 nucleotides) under Homo sapiens (human). RNAcentral describes it as "novel transcript". The record is from RNAcentral. Lineage: Eukaryota; Metazoa; Chordata; Mammalia; Primates; Hominidae.
UUCCACCAUGUGGCUGCACUGGAGUCUCUGUGAAUCUGCUGUGAUUCUGGGGGCUGCCCAAUUCACAAAUCAUUCAUUGCUCAGUUAAACUCCUUUAAAUUUAAUUUGGCUGAAGUUUUUCUUUUAUCAGGUUGUGUCAGAAGUGGGAUUCGAGGUAGAGCCUCUAGCAACCCCCAGGAGUGCUGAGUGAAUAUGCAUGGUACCUGCAGGACCCACUUGUGUCCACUGAUCUCUUGGAGCAGCUGAGGAUUGUGGGACUAUGGUGCAGCCAGCUGGGUCAUUAGGGCCACUCAGGGAAAGAGAACCCAGAAGCCUGGUAUGCCGGCAAAAGGGUAAGAAUUUCUUACCAGUCAGACUUCUGAUCUCUCUCUCUCUCUCUGUGCAAACUCAUUGAAUGAAUGGUAAAAAUCACUGUUUAUCUCCUCUGUAAAUUUUGAUUAAUGGAAGAAAGGAUUUGUGAGGCUGGUCUUAAACUGUAGCAAAUCUGGUGUGCUUUGCGUGUCUUUCUGUGUUGUUCUGUCAUAAAGAGGGGUACCUUAGGAUAGAACACAGGCUUAGGACGCCCAUAAGCCCACUUUACAAGAUGGCUCAGCAAAUUGGUCAGUUAUGUCCUUGGGAGCUUGACCUUGUAAUUAUGUGGCCAUGCUUUCUCUUUUCAGAAUGGCGGCCCGGGUUCAGGGUUCAAUCCCUAGAUUAAGGGAUGAACCUUUCUGAUUAAUAUUUGGGUGACCUUUGCCAUUUUUAAAUUCUCUUCCCCUCCACCAACUGUCUUGAAUUUUCCCUUCUCAGAGCACCUAUGAGGUUACUUUUGGUAAAGUUUAAAAGCCAGAAAUAUCAGCCAUUUGGCCUGGCUAAAGUCAGGUAAUAAGAAAUUUUAGAAAGACUUUAUUAAAGAGUUCUAUGGUUAAAAGUCAGCUUAAUUAAAAGCAGAUAUUCAGGCUCUAACAGCCUGGAGCUCCUUGGGAAAAACAGGAGGCACCAGAGACCCUUUCCUGGCCCUGUUCCUCCGAGGACUCCGCCCUAAAGUGAAUAAUCCAAUUAAGAAACUUAAAAACUGGGAAAAAA